This 440-nucleotide ribosomal RNA is filed under the name uncultured bacterium. RNAcentral's name for it is "partial 16S ribosomal RNA". It matches the Rfam family "Bacterial small subunit ribosomal RNA", at positions 338 to 795 of the family's 1533-position model. The record is from RNAcentral.
CCUACGGGAGGCAGCAGUGGGGAAUAUUGCACAAUGGGGGAAACCCUGAUGCAGCGACGCCGCGUGAAGGAAGAAGUAUUUCGGUAUGUAAACUUCUAUCAGCAGGGAAGAAAAUGACGGUACCUGACUAAGAAGCCCCGGCUAACUACGGGCCAGCAGCCGCGGUAAUACGUAGGGGGCAAGCGUUAUCCGGAUUUACUGGGUGUAAAGGGAGCGUAGGCGGGGAUGCAAGUCAGAAGUGAAAGCCCGGGGAUCAACUCCGGGACUGCUUUUGAAACUGUGUUGCUAGAGUGCAGGAGAGGCAGGUGGAAUUCCUGGUGUAGCGGUGAAAUGCGUAGAUAUUAGGAGGAACACCAGUGGCGAAGGCGGCUUGCUGGACUGCAAAUGACGCUGAGGCGCGAAAGCGUGGGGAGCAAACAGGAUUAGAUACCCCAGUAGUC